RNAcentral lists this transfer RNA (67 nucleotides) under Marmota monax (woodchuck). Its description in RNAcentral is "tRNA.Glu". The stretch from base 7 to 62 matches the Rfam family "tRNA", at positions 8 to 63 of the family's 71-position model. From Rfam's summary of the family: Transfer RNA (tRNA) molecules are approximately 80 nucleotides in length. Their secondary structure includes four short double-helical elements and three loops (D, anti-codon, and T loops). Lineage: Eukaryota; Metazoa; Chordata; Mammalia; Rodentia; Sciuridae. The record is from RNAcentral.
GGAGCAUAGCUCAAUGGUAUAGCACAUGCUUUUCAUGCAUGAGGCCCUGGGUUCAAUCUUAGCACCA